Apis mellifera (honey bee) is the source of this 5814-nucleotide long non-coding RNA. RefSeq lists it as uncharacterized. The record is from RefSeq and is a predicted model, not a curated record. The transcript has 2 exons. Lineage: Eukaryota; Metazoa; Arthropoda; Insecta; Hymenoptera; Apidae.
UGGCGAUGAUGGCGAGGAGGAGGCUGUUGCGCCACGCCGGCCACGCUGUGUCGGCGAAGGUACGCGUAAUUCUCGAGAUCCCACGGAUCCACGUAGUGCCUGCUCGUCGAGCUGCAACCGUCCCCGGAGCUACCGAUAGAAAUGGAACCGACAGAGUCCCAAUAUAUCGAUGAUUCGGUUGGCAUUUUCAUUUCUUCUUCCUCUCUUCAAAAUUUUCACCGAUCAUCAACUGUACUCCUUUUUCCAAAAAUCAACCCUUUUGAAUUUUUUCACAUCGAAAUUGUACAUAUAUAUAUAUUAUGGAAAGAAGAAAUUUUCUUGUCUCAAGACAAGAUUUAUUGUAGUUGAUAACAGUCGUGAAAAGGUAAAUAGAAGAAAGGUUCCGUCUUGUUUAUUAAUUCUUCUAACUACUUUUAUUUUUUCCACUUUCCACAGAGACGGUUGUUAAUUCACGUUGAUAUCGGAACAGAAUUCUGAAUAAUUGAAUCACAAUUCGAUGUCGGUUUCGUUCGAGAUCGAGCUUAGCUCGUUUCCGGUCGAUCGAGGAGGCGCAUUGCGCGCGGCACGAGCACGAUUUCGCUUCUGUCGAUCCGUUCGAACGGCGAGCUUCACCGUUUUCUUCUCCUACCGGCCGCCAAGCUGGAUCUCUUGGAAGACAAGUGAAACUGAAGACUUUCACGCCUGCGCUACCACCCCACCUUCCUCUUGAACCUGGUGCAUCGUCUUAUUACGCCUGUAAUCGCCUGUAUAAUUGCCUGGAUCAUGGGGCCGUCCCUCAACCAGUUGAAAUUCGUAUAAAAUUCGUAUAUUCGAAUUUCGAAUUUAAAUUUUGUAUGAUUAAAAUAUUGCGCAAUUUUAAUUGGUUCCAACUUUGAGAAAAUUAUUACAAACACUUUGACUAAAAAGGGGAGGUGAGAAUUAAUAUUUAAUUAAUUAAGGCAGAAUAUAAUAACACGUAUUUCUUAAGAAAGUGUCUCUGAAAUGAAAGAACCAUCCAGGGCAACAUUCCAUCCUGUCCGCCUCUAUUUCUCUCGGUUCGAACCCUUCCCCCCAAAUACGCGACGAACUUUUUAUUGGAACGAUCGUGAACCGGAUUUAAUUGUAUGAAACGCACGUGAACAGAGGCCUGUCACUCGCCACCCGGGGCGGGUCAAUUAAAAUUGUGCUAACCGCGAGAAAAAUGGCGUCGUGGAACCGACGUGACUGGCACGGGAUUGCGUAAUUAUCGAUCGUGCAAUUGAGACGCGAGGGAACUUGCUAAGAAGGUAACGCUGUGCUUUCGUCGAAUUAAUCUAUUCCAUCUUAAUUAUCCUUAAAAAUGAUUCAAGCUGUGUAAUGCAGUGAUAAUGAUCGUCGAUAAAUUUUUCUGACGCGAUGGAAUUUUAAUCGUGAUACAACUGAACCUAAACGUUUCCUUGAACACGAAAAAGAGGAAUAAGAAUAAAGGAAAGAAGAUCAAGAAAUUUGAUUCAAACAAAUGUUGGAAUUGCUCGAAAAUUGGAAACUUUUAUGCAAAGUUUCAUGGUAUACUUGUGAUAUUGAAAUUUGAUCAUUUACUUAACCUCAACAUAACCUAACUUAAGUUCGAGUUCUCUUUGCUUUGAUUUGUCAAAUGUAGAAAACGUGACAGUGAGUGAAAAAGAUAAAAGAAAGAGAUGUGAAAAUGAAGACGAGGGAAUAACUUUCUUAAAAUUAAGACACGUGAAUAAAUUUAAAAAAAAAUUGUAUAUUGGAGGAAGAAACCUCUUAGAGAAAAGAAUUAUCGAACGGUUAUAUGGAUCGUGUCUGAAAAACGAGAAAAGCAAUUUUUUUUGGGAAAAUAAAGCAACUAACGGGUGUAAAAUCAGUAUACAAAAUAUAAUUGAUUGGUACAUUUAAUACAAUCAAAGGUUCAAUUCAAUCACAAGACAGCUGUAUAGAAAUAAUAACGCUAUGAUCACAAAUGAGCAGCAAUGGAUGCUGAUUAAAAACUAUAUUAAAAUUAUAUAUGAUGUCGGCAGCUAAAGGUAUCUUUUCGAUAAUCACAAAUAAACAGCCAGAUGUUAGAUAUAUCGCAGCUGAUCUUUUUUUUUCUUUUGAUCGAAAUUGUUUCUUUUUCCUUUCGAGAAAAUGAUGUUUAUUCAUUAUCCAGAUUUGUGUCUAAAUUUCUAUUAGGAUUAUAUUUAGAAAUCUAGAAAUUAACUGAGAAAUCGAUAUAAGUACAAUAAUUACAACGAUAUACGAAAUUAGUUUUUUUUUUCUUUCUCUACGAAUAAUUUUUUUUACUAAGAAAAAUAAAAUAUUCUCUCUCUCUCUCUCUCUCUCCUUUCGACAAAUUCAUUCAUCUCGAUUGUGUGAUAGCUUUUGCUUUCUACCUUCUGCUCGUGAAUAUUCACGAUGUUCCGCGAUCCGUUCUAUCGAAAACUGAAACUGUUAGAAAGCCGGAAUCGUCCGAUCCUACACUUUCUUCAAUCUUGACAUCGAAUGCAUUCAACCGAAUAUGUCUGAUUUUUUCCAUCUAUCUCGCGUAUAAAAAUCCACGAGGAUCAAGACUGACCAAAAUAAUUAGAUUUAUUUUAUUGUUAAAGAGCGAGUCUUAAAUCUUAAAUUCCAUAAAAAUAGUUUCUAUCAUUUUGAUGUUGAGAUUUCACGUUUGUGAAAAAUUUAAAAGAUUAUAGAUUAGUCAAAAUGAUAGAAUACACUGGAUAAUAUUACUAUUGAAGAUAUUAUUAUUAUAUAUUACUAGAAACGAGAUAUAUUAGUGAUUGGGUUUUAAAAAGUUCGUUUAAGAAUUUCUGAUGAUCGAUAAAACGUAAAAUUCCACUUUAUAUUUGACGAGAUGAAAGAGAAUAAUUCACGAUAAAAAAGAAAUCACAAAUUUCAACUAUAAUAUCGAAUGGAAACAAAAUUGAAUUAAAUUCGUUAAUUAAUUCCUCUUGCUCCUUCACUUUUCCACUUAAUCGUUAUAAAUAUCUACAAAUACUAUAAAAAUGUAUAUUAGAGUGUAUAAUAUCAAAAUACUUUAUAUAAUUUCAUUUAAUUGUAAUUAAUUAUUCCUACAAUUACGGGAAAAAUUAAAUAAAAUCAUUAAAAUCAAAAGUUUAAUAUUACUACUUAUAACCUAUAAUUUUCCAGUCACGUCGGUUCGGUGGUUGGAAAUUAAUUCGGGAGAUGAUCGUGACAUAUAUCCUUGGGGAAAAUAUAGAAUUGGGGAAAAAAAAACAUAAAUAUUCGAAUAAUAUAUCAAAAAUAAUAUUAAUCAAUCUUGGCCGUGCAAAUGAAAAAAAAAAGUUCAAAAUUUCGACAUUUUACGUUUUAUUUGUGAUGUAUCGAACAUUUUUCUUUCUCCAUCGAAAGAUGACGAGAGGAGCCUUGACACACGCACACAGGCUCCUUUUAUAGAUUACGUACACUGGGGAAAAUAGGAUCGAAGGGUCUAGGGUAAUCUAGAGAGUUAACUUUUAAGAAAUAAAUUAGAGAGCCUAUCUCACUUGAUACUGGAACAUGAAUUACCGACUUUCGGCAACGCAGUUGGAGAAUUGAAAUAAACGGGGAAUGGGAAAACGCUGUUCGUUUUUUCUCUUUUUAUCAUUCGAUUCUCGCCCCGUUCGAACUAGUUAGCUUAAAAAAAUAUUGACUUUUUAGAUUAGGUUAAGGAUAGGGAUUAAGUAGAAAAUAGGGAUUGGCUGGCUAUCUCGUCACGAUAAUCACAGUGUCUCCCGUUUUAAUCAGUACAACAGGCUAUUUAUGCAGAAAGGAAUAACGUAAUAUAAUAGUAUAUCAAUACCUUUUCUCUUACAUAACUUGAACCCUAAUGUGUUAUAUUAAUACCGUCUGUGAGAACAGUUGCAUCUACUUUACCAUCUUUCGAUACUUAUCUGAGCAUGUGGUCUGAGUAUUUUAUAAAAAUUUGAAUUAAAAAAAAAAAAAAAAAAAAACAAUUUCCAAUUAAUUUUCAAUCUCAAAUUAAUCUCUUUUUUUCAAAAGAUAUUUUUAUAAAUUGUAAAAAAGUAAACAUGAUGAACAUGAUUCUCGCAGAUAGGUGCACGUUUAAAAAAGAAAAAAAAUAUAAAAAGUGUCUCCUUUUGACAAUAUUCGAUAGGAUACUUUACUCAGGGUUUUUUUUUUUUUUCUAUCAAAAUCCUUUCCGCGAAGAACUGAUGACACUAUGAUCGUGAAAAAUUAGGCGAAACGAAUUCUUCAAAAGCACGCAUUUCCAAUUACACACGAACUAAAAAAAAAAAAUCCUGGCCAGGACGCGUUGGCCAGGAUUGAACGUAAGAAAGAAAGAAAGAAUAUAAUGAAAGGAGGAAAUUUUAAAUUUAACUUCAGUCAGCUAUGAAAUGCCUAUAUGUACACUCCUGACAAUAUAUAUAUAUAUAUAUACGAUUACAAUCUAAUCUCUAUCCUUAAAAAAAAAAAAAAAAGGAAAACGGAGAAAAAGGAAAAUUCUCUCACUCUCACUCUCACUCUCAUUCUCUCUCUCACUCUCUCUAUUUCUAUCUUUGAACAAUACCGCCUAGAGCCUUUAGUAACGCAUAUCACAGUUACAAAAAUUCAACGUUUCUCGCUACUUGGCAAUCUUUCUCCUCCUCCCCACUCCUCCCCCCGCAGUAUCAAAUCGUUUUUAUUACACAUUUAUUACACGUACAUCUAUCGGACCCCAAUGCUUUCGUCAGCCGAGCGAUUGCAUCGCUUUUACUCGACAGCCAUUUGCAGCCUUCUCCAUCGAAGUGAGACAUUUAAGGAUAGAGAAGUAUGCCAGCAGAGACAAUUUUUUUUUUUUUUUUGCUUCUACAGGCAGUUGAGCUGGCUUUGAGCGCCGGCGAUAUCAUUGGAAUUGACAGAACGGUUUACAUGCACGUAGUCGUGCCUCUUGGAAAUUCUCUAAGUGCUUCUCUUUUCGAUCAAUUGGAACUCUUUUUCGAUCGACAAUUGGUUAGGAAAUAAAAAUUGCUUUUUUAUUAUUAUUAUUAUUAUUGUUUCGAUUCAAUUAAGAUCAGAUUAGAGAGAAAUAAUAAAUCAAUUUUGAAUCCAGAUAUUUCCUCGAUUUUUAUAGAUGGAACUUGAAUUGUAUGAAUAUUAGAGAAUUACGAUUGGACGACGUCGAGCGGAAAGAGAGGUUAUGUUAGCGCGGUUAAACCAAUCCAUCGAUGACACGUAUCAUAUAUAUAUCGAUUCCUUUCCUGAAGAAUUUAAUCAUAAAAAGAGAUAGACGGUUUACAACCACUUUCACAAGAUCACUGUCAUAAAUAUGCAUGGAAGAGGUUUAACUCUGAAAGUGGUUUUUUUUUUAUCGGGUUUAAAUGGAACCACGUACGGUUUUUUCGUUUCACUUCCGUUUCACGUAGAUUUAAUUACCGGAUAACCGAUUGUCGACAUAGAAGAGUUUCAAUGAUUCUAAUUGACACGGUCUAAUAUAUCAAUCGUUCAAUUUUUAUGGCCGUAUUCGUUCAUAUAUGGUGUAAAUAAAAAAAGAUAUAAUUUCUUUUAUUACGUUACAACGAUAUAGGAAGAUUUUUUUUUUAUAACACGAUACAAUAAAAAUCUUUUUAUCAGUUUAAACAACAAGGAUGACAAAAAUUUAAAAUUUUUGAAAAAAUGGAAGAAUUUUUUGUGUGAUGUAAGAAUUACACCGUAUACGAUGAACGUAUAUACCAUAAAUCAAAACGAGCAAUUUUUCUUAAAAAAAAUAUUGAAUAUUUAGGAUAAAAAAUUUAAUAAAAGAAUUAAUUUUUUUCUUUUUUUUUUUAAGGAUAAUUGCUCGUUACUCUUACAUUUUCAUGUAUUAAUACAAAAUAAUUGAUAUGAAUCCUUUUUUUUUUUUUUUUUUUU